This 161-nucleotide ribosomal RNA is filed under the name uncultured freshwater bacterium. Its description in RNAcentral is "partial 16S ribosomal RNA". It matches the Rfam family "Bacterial small subunit ribosomal RNA", at positions 334 to 507 of the family's 1533-position model. The record is from RNAcentral.
GACUCCUACGGGAGGCAGCAGUGGGGAAUAUUGGGCAAUGGAGGAAACUCUGACCCAGCGACGCCGCGUGCGGGAUGAAGGCCUUCGGGUUGUAAACCGCUUUCAGCAGGGAAGAAGCGAAAGUGACGGUACCUGCAGAAGAAGCACCGGCUAACUAUGUG